This 484-nucleotide ribosomal RNA is filed under the name uncultured bacterium. Its description in RNAcentral is "partial 16S ribosomal RNA". It matches the Rfam family "Bacterial small subunit ribosomal RNA", at positions 29 to 507 of the family's 1533-position model. The record is from RNAcentral.
AUUGAACGCUGGCGGCAGGCCUAACACAUGCAAGUCGAGCGGAUGAAGGGAGCUUGCUCCUGGAUUCAGCGGCGGACGGGUGAGUAAUGCCUAGGAAUCUGCCUGGUAGUGGGGGAUAACGUCCGGAAACGGGCGCUAAUACCGCAUACGUUCUGAGGGAGAAAGUGUGGGUUCUUCGGACCUCACGCUAUCAGAUGAGCCUAGGUCGGGUUAGCUAGGUGCGGGGGUAAAUGCCUACCCAGGCGACGAUCCGUAACUGGACUGAGUGGGGGAUCCGUCACACUGGAACUGAGACACGGGCCAGACUCCUACGGGAAGGAGCAGGUGGGAAUAUUUGACAAUGGGCGAAAGCCUGAACGAGCCAAGGCGCGGGUGGGAAGAAGGUCUUCGGAUUGGAAAACACCUGUUGUUGGGAAGAAGGAAAGGUAUAAGAAACCUUGCUGGUUUGACGGUACCCAAAGAAGAAGGCCCGGCCAACUUCGUG